AAAUUUAAUGAUUUAAGAUAAUAGAAGUUAAAGAAAAAAGUUUAAAUAGAAAAUCACUUUUAUUCGAAAUUAAAAGAUUAAAUGUCAGCAGUUAGUCUUGAGCCUAACGCUUUUAAACAAUCCCCUAAUCGAAAUUUAAUGAUUUAAGAUAAUAGAAGUUAGAGAAAAAGGUUAAAUAGAAAAUCACUGUUAUUCGAAAUUAAAAGAUUAAAUGUCAGCAGUUAGUCUCAAACCUAAUGCUUCUAAACAAUCCCUUAAUCGAAAGUUAAUUAUUUAAGAUAAUAGAAGAUAAAGAAAAAAGGUUAAUUAGAAGUUCAAUCUCAAUCGAAUUUAAAAGAUUAAAAAUCAUCAUUUAUUAUAGAAAAAGAAUAAG
Syngnathus acus (greater pipefish) is the source of this 373-nucleotide long non-coding RNA. RefSeq lists it as uncharacterized. The transcript has 2 exons. The record is from RefSeq and is a predicted model, not a curated record. Lineage: Eukaryota; Metazoa; Chordata; Actinopteri; Syngnathiformes; Syngnathidae.